CAUUCGAAGAGUACAGCUAUCGAUAUUGUAACCAGGAUUAUCAGACAACUGACUUACGAAGACGACCAGUUCCAAUAUCUUCACACAAUGGCUAACAAAGUAGUACUUGCUGUCUGUAUCUUACUUGUACUCAAUAUGUCUUUGAUGUGUUCAGCGUUUACAAGUGUGAUAACUAAUGGCUGCUCCGGAGGCAGCUGUAGGUCUAUUGACAAAAGAGCAAGUGAGAUCCCUGUACGAACCACGAGAUGCAUAAAGUAUGUCCUACAGCGACACGGAAAGGAGGUAGAAAACUGCUUCGUUGGAGGGUUUGCAUAGAUGCAUGCAGGAUUAACGACCAUGGCUACUGACAAGAAGAUAGAAAAUGGAAAAAAUACCUUUUUUAAUCCCACAGAAUUGAAAAACUGAUUUAAUCAAUGAACGACUAAAUUAUUUUAGACAAAACAUCAUUUUUGAAUCCUACAGGAUUUAUAUAAUCAAUUCAAAUAAACUAUACUGAAAUACUUAUUUUAGUUUUCAUUCAGUUUCAAAUUAAUUUUAAAAGACUUUCAAUUUGUAAGGCCGCUAAAGAGUAAACUGAUUUCGAGAGAGAUCGAGUUACAAGAGCA
Long non-coding RNA from Actinia tenebrosa (Australian red waratah sea anemone), 605 nucleotides. RefSeq lists it as uncharacterized. The record is from RefSeq and is a predicted model, not a curated record. Lineage: Eukaryota; Metazoa; Cnidaria; Anthozoa; Actiniaria; Actiniidae.